GGGUUGUGAGGUUAAGCGACUAAGCGUACACGGUGGAUGCCCUGGCAGUCAGAGGCGAUGAAGGACGUGCUAAUCUGCGAUAAGCGCCGGUAAGGUGAUAUGAACCGUUAUAACCGGCGAUACCCGAAUGGGGAAACCCAGUGUGACUCGUCACACUAUCAUUAACUGAAUCCAUAGGUUAAUGAGGCGAACCGGGGGAACUGAAACAUCUAAGUACCCCGAGGAAAAGAAAUCAACCGAGAUUCCCCCAGUAGCGGCGAGCGAACGGGGAGGAGCCCAGAGCCUGAAUCAGCAUGUGUGUUAGUGGAAGCGUCUGGAAAGGCGCGCGAUACAGGGUGACAGCCCCGUACACAAAAGCGCAUGUGCUGUGAGCUCGAUGAGUAGGGCGGGACACGUGGUAUCCUGUCUGAAUAUGGGGGGACCAUCCUCCAAGGCUAAAUACUCCUGACUGACCGAUAGUGAACCAGUACCGUGAGGGAAAGGCGAAAAGAACCCCGGCGAGGGGAGUGAAAAAGAACCUGAAACCGUGUACGUACAAGCAGUGGGAGC
Molecule: ribosomal RNA, 549 nt
Filed under: Salmonella enterica subsp. enterica serovar Oranienburg
Lineage: Bacteria; Pseudomonadati; Pseudomonadota; Gammaproteobacteria; Enterobacterales; Enterobacteriaceae
Also listed under: 2 other names
Description: bacterial LSU rRNA
Rfam family: Bacterial large subunit ribosomal RNA
Source: RNAcentral